This 540-nucleotide ribosomal RNA is filed under the name uncultured bacterium. RNAcentral describes it as "bacterial SSU rRNA". It matches the Rfam family "Bacterial small subunit ribosomal RNA", at positions 355 to 896 of the family's 1533-position model. The record is from RNAcentral.
UGAGGAAUAUUGGUCAAUGGGCGAGAGCCUGAACCAGCCAAGUAGCGUGCAGGACGACGGCCCUAUGGGUUGUAAACUGCUUUUGUAUGGGGAUAAAGUCAAUCACGUGUGAUUGUUUGCAGGUACCAUACGAAUAAGGACCGGCUAAUUCCGUGCCAGCAGCCGCGGUAAUACGGAAGGUCCGGGCGUUAUCCGGAUUUAUUGGGUUUAAAGGGAGCGUAGGCUGGAGAUUAAGUGUGUUGUGAAAUGUAGACGCUCAACGUCUGACUUGCAGCGCAUACUGGUUUCCUUGAGUACGCACAACGUUGGCGGAAUUCGUCGUGUAGCGGUGAAAUGCUUAGAUAUGACGAAGAACUCCGAUUGCGAAGGCAGCUGACGGGAGCGCAACUGACGCUGAAGCUCGAAGGUGCGGGUAUCGAACAGGAUUAGAUACCCUGGUAGUCCGCACAGUAAACGAUGGAUGCCCGCUGUUGGUACUUGGUAUCAGCGGCUAAGCGAAAGCAUUAAGCAUCCCACCUGGGGAGUACGCCGGCAACGGUG